RNAcentral lists this long non-coding RNA (763 nucleotides) under Medicago truncatula (barrel medic). RNAcentral's name for it is "long non-coding RNA (MTRU_LNC003574)". The record is from RNAcentral. Lineage: Eukaryota; Viridiplantae; Streptophyta; Magnoliopsida; Fabales; Fabaceae.
AGUAAAGAAAUGGAAGGCUUUUCCGAGGAAAACAAAAUUCUCCCCAUCAAAUAUUGGAGAGUAUAAAGCUCCUUUCCUUUUUGUGGUUUAAAGCUAAUUUUGUUGUCUUUAAUUAUUCGUUUCAUAAAUGGUGCCUAAAACCUACUGCAUGUGUAGGUAUUGGCUAACUGUUGUUGUGCUACUGUCGAACACUGUUAUAUUUUUUGCUAUUGUUUCUAGCACACCUUGUGCUGGGAAGGUACUUGGACCGUCAUAAUAUUCCUAAGGGCUUAAAAGCCCUCCAGAAGGGUUUAGGCGCCCUAUAGAAGGGACUUUGGAGGCCUAGGCGCGUCCUCCUCAGGGCGCCGUCUACCUCGGCUUCUAGAAACCUCUAGAAGUCGCCCUAAACCGCCUAAAUGAGCUAAAAAGACUAAAAACCCUGCUUUCUUAGAGCUUAAGUCACGCAGGAAAAAGCCCAUUAGCAGGCUAUAAAUAACCCUCUUGGGGUCAUUCUAAAAGGAUCCAUUAUUAUUCAGUCUAAAACCCUAGAUUAGAACCCUAGUCUACGAUUCUUAACCCUAGAAUCCUUACCGUACUUUUUUUGCAAGUACAGUACUCAACUGGUUUUAAUAUUAUUCAUUUUGAUUUCUUUAAAAAUAAAUACAGAGGUAGUAUUUGAUAACUGAACAGAUGUCUAAUUUUAUCUCUAAAAGUGUCAUUCUCAUUCAUUCUUUAGGGUAAUUUGGCUUGCUUGUGUGUGGGCAAUUUAAAAAGAAAGGAACAA